This 865-nucleotide ribosomal RNA is filed under the name uncultured Bacteroidota bacterium. RNAcentral's name for it is "bacterial SSU rRNA". It matches the Rfam family "Bacterial small subunit ribosomal RNA", at positions 512 to 1384 of the family's 1533-position model. The record is from RNAcentral. Lineage: Bacteria; Pseudomonadati; Bacteroidota.
CAGCCGCGGUAAUACGGAGGGUGCAAGCGUUAUCCGGAUUUAUUGGGUUUAAAGGGUCCGUAGGCGGAUCUGUAAGUCAGUGGUGAAAUCUCACAGCUUAACUGUGAAACUGCCAUUGAUACUGCAGGUCUUGAGUGUUGUUGAAGUAGCUGGAAUAAGUAGUGUAGCGGUGAAAUGCAUAGAUAUUACUUAGAACACCAAUUGCGAAGGCAGGUUACUAAGCAACAACUGACGCUGAUGGACGAAAGCGUGGGGAGCGAACAGGAUUAGAUACCCUGGUAGUCCACGCCGUAAACGAUGCUAACUCGUUUUUGGUUUUUCGGAAUCAGAGACUAAGCGAAAGUGAUAAGUUAGCCACCUGGGGAGUACGUUCGCAAGAAUGAAACUCAAAGGAAUUGACGGGGGCCCGCACAAGCGGUGGAUUAUGUGGUUUAAUUCGAUGAUACGCGAGGAACCUUACCAAGGCUUAAAUGGGAAAUGACAGGUUUAGAAAUAGACUUUUCUUCGGACAUUUUUCAAGGUGCUGCAUGGUUGUCGUCAGCUCGUGCCGUGAGGUGUUAGGUUAAGUCCUGCAACGAGCGCAACCCCUGUCACUAGUUGCCAUCAUUAAGUUGGGGACUCUAGUGAGACUGCCUACGCAAGUAGAGAGGAAGGUGGGGAUGACGUCAAAUCAUCACGGCCCUUACGCCUUGGGCCACACACGUAAUACAAUGGCCGGUACAGAGGGCAGCUACACAGCGAUGUGAUGCAAAUCUCGAAAGCCGGUCUCAGUUCGGAUUGGAGUCUGCAACUCGACUCUAUGAAGCUGGAAUCGCUAGUAAUCGCGCAUCAGCCAUGGCGCGGUGAAUACGUUCCCGGGCCUUGC